GACGAACGCUUGCGGCGUGCUUAACACAUGCAAGUCGAACGGUAAGGCUCCAGCUUGCUGGGGUACACGAGUGGCGAACGGGUGAGUAACACGUGGGUGACCUGCCCUGCACUUCGGGAUAAGCCUGGGAAACUGGGUCUAAUACCGGAUAGGACCGCACCGUGAGGGUGUGGUGGAAAGUUUUUUCGGUGUGGGAUGGGCCCGCGGCCUAUCAGCUUGUUGGUGGGGUAAUGGCCUACCAAGGCGGCGACGGGUAGCCGGCCUGAGAGGGUGGACGGCCACAUUGGGACUGAGACACGGCCCAGACUCCUACGGGAGGCAACAGUGGGGAAUAUUGCACAAUGGGCGGAAGCCUGAUGCAGCGACGCCGCGUGGGGGAUGACGGCCUUCGGGUUGUAAACUCCUUUCACCAUCGACGAAGGGUUUCUGACGGUAGAUGGAGAAGAAGCACCGGCUAACUACGUGCCAGCAGCCGCGGUAAUACGUAGGGUGCGAGCGUUGUCCGGAAUUACUGGGCGUAAAGAGCUCGUAGGUGGUUUGUCGCGUCGUCUGUGAAAUUCCGGGGCUUAACUCCGGGCGUGCAGGCGAUACGGGCAUAACUUGAGUACUGUAGGGGAGACUGGAAUUCCUGGUGUAGCGGUGAAAUGCGCAGAUAUCAGGAGGAACACCGGUGGCGAAGGCGGGUCUCUGGGCAGUAACUGACGCUGAGGAGCGAAAGCAUGGGGAGCGAACAGGAUUAGAUACCCUGGUAGUCCAUGCCGUAAACGGUGGGCGCUAGGUGUGGGUUUCCUUCCACGGGAUCCGUGCCGUAGCUAACGCAUUAAGCGCCCCGCCUGGGGAGUACGGCCGCAAGGCUAAAACUCAAAGGAAUUGACGGGGGCCCGCACAAGCGGCGGAGCAUGUGGAUUAAUUCGAUGCAACGCGAAGAACCUUACCUGGGCUUGACAUAUACAGGAUCGCGCCAGAGAUGGUGUUUCCCUUGUGGCUUGUAUACAGGUGGUGCAUGGUUGUCGUCAGCUCGUGUCGUGAGAUGUUGGGUUAAGUCCCGCAACGAGCGCAACCCUUGUCUUAUGUUGCCAGCACGUUGUGGUGGGGACUCGUAAGAAACUGCCGGGGUUAACUCGGAGGAAGGUGGGGAUGACGUCAAAUCAUCAUGCCCCUUAUGUCCAGGGCUUCACACAUGCUACAAUGGUCGGUACAGUGGGUUGCCAGUCCGUGAGGGCGAGCUAAUCCCGCAAAGCCGGUCUCAGUUCGGAUCGGGGUCUGCAACUCGACCCCGUGAAGUCGGAGUCGCUAGUAAUCGCAGAUCAGCAACGCUGCGGUGAAUACGUUCCCGGGCCU
Molecule: ribosomal RNA, 1341 nt
Filed under: uncultured bacterium
Lineage: Bacteria
Description: 16S ribosomal RNA
Rfam family: Bacterial small subunit ribosomal RNA
Source: RNAcentral